Molecule: long non-coding RNA, 311 nt
Organism: Gorilla gorilla gorilla (western lowland gorilla)
Lineage: Eukaryota; Metazoa; Chordata; Mammalia; Primates; Hominidae
Exons: 3
Source: RefSeq, a predicted model, not a curated record
AGUUCAACAUCUGGACAGAAGACAUACUCAUAAAGGCCACCAGCGAGGACAGCUCCUAUGAUGGGCCCAACCCAAUAUAUCUAAGGAAAAGAUGGAAGAGGAUAGAGUUCUUCCUCCAUGGGAUGAUAUAACAAAAGGGCCCUUGGCAGAUGCAAGCCCCUUGAUCUUGGACUUCCCAGCCUCCAGAACUAUGGUGUCUCACCCUGUUGCCCAGGCUGGAAUACAGUGGCACGAUCUUGGCUCACUGCAAUCUCAUCUCCCGGGUUCAAGCGAUUCUCCUGCCUCAGCCUCUCAAGUAGCUGGGAUUACAG